GUAAGCUUUAAGCUGGAGGUCAGAUAAGAGGGGGAGCUUGGCUGGAUGUGAGGCAGAAGAAGCAGGCCUCCAGGUCCCAGGGUCAGGACUAGGGUGCAGGUUGGCCCUGAACCCCAGCAGGUGGUGUCUGCCAGUCCAAAGUCUGUGAGCACCCCACCAAAAGGAGGUGUCUCCAGCAGGCUGUUAACCUUGGAUCACACAGACUCAGAAGGCAACAGCUGCUUGCCUUGCCUGAAAAUGCCUUGUGAUGGUGACUCCAGGACACAGCAAGUCCCUUCAAGGAGCACCAGUUUUCGAGUGUGCAAGACUGAGGUGAAAGUAAGUUUCUGCCGUGUGAACAGCCUGCCUUCAGUGAGCCGUUUGUUCUUUAGGGAAG
RNAcentral lists this long non-coding RNA (376 nucleotides) under Equus caballus (horse). RNAcentral describes it as "lncRNA (ENSECAG00000050661.1)". Lineage: Eukaryota; Metazoa; Chordata; Mammalia; Perissodactyla; Equidae. The record is from RNAcentral.